Cicer arietinum (chickpea) is the source of this 5216-nucleotide long non-coding RNA. RefSeq lists it as uncharacterized. NCBI's taxonomy places the organism in Eukaryota, Viridiplantae, Streptophyta, Magnoliopsida, Fabales, Fabaceae. The record is from RefSeq and is a predicted model, not a curated record.
AAAAUUUUACCUAGAUUUAUCCCCUCUUCUUAUAUCGAAUAUAUAUUGAUGCUAUCUGUUUCGGGACGACUAUACUCCUACACCAUCUAACUCAGACAUCAUACAUGGAUUCAUUAUAGAACGAAGGAACCCUCGCCGCCACACCACUAUUGCAUCUCGCCGCCACACCACCAUUGCAUCUUGCCGCCAUCGUCACCAUCGAAUCUCAACUUCUUUGCGUCGCAUCUCAACUUCCCCCGCCAUUGGUACCUUGUCGCCUUCAUCUGGUGUUUUUCUGAGAUUGGAGUUUAUUGUCAAGUUGAAAGAGGCAAAGGGUUCUGCCAUUGCUGCUUGCAUAAAGGUAACUCAGCAACUAAAUUAUUUUGAAGAAAAAUCUGCAGGAAAUUUGAGAGGUAAAUUUACAUCUUGUGCUUGUUUUUCUGCUUUUUAAUUUAUAUGAAAAUUUUAAUUAAAAGUAUAUGAAAACAUUAUUAUAAAAAUAUUUUUGAAGUAUUUAAUUUUAGUCUUUAAUUACAAUACUACUAAACAAAAUUUAUAUAUGUUCACAAAUCAUAACUAAAUAUUAAUUAAAGUAUGAUUCAAAGAAAAAGCUAAGUAUAAUUAAGUACAUGAUGCAACCAAAUUACCAAAAUAAGAAUAAAUACUAUUCAAUAUGAUCAAUACCAAUGUCAUAAUCCCCACUAUCUUCAUCAGUUUCAAUAUUAGGUUGUGAUGAUGAACUUGGACGAUAAGAAGAUCCAACAAAUACUGAAUGUUGCAUAAGAUUCAACUUUUGUUGGUCUCAACCAUCUCUUUUUCUUGUUGUUGUAGUCGUUGCUUCAUCAAAAACUUUUCUUGCUCUUGUCGUUGCAAUGGUUCAUUCAAAGCAUAAACUUGAUUUUUCAAAACAUCAACCUAAUGAUUAGAAAACAUUGUUGGUUGACCUGGAAAAGAUUUUGGAUAUAGAUCCAAGACUAAAUAUUCUCCCUUCCUCCCAUUUACAUCCACCCUAUCAAUAUGUCUUUGUUUGAUUGACUAUCGACUUCAUUCUCUCCUAAAACAAAAGUUGAAUCUUCAUGAGAUAAUUCAAUUUUUUGUUUUUGAAUUUCUUGUAAAAGAAAAUAUAAAUUUGUUUAUAAACAUUUUCAUAUGAUUUGAAUUAUUAAUUAGUUUUUGGAACACAAGUAAUACACAAGAAGUUAUGAGCUUACACAAGCAGAUUUUGCAUGAACACUGACCUAGUUUUUAUCUUUCUUACGAUGAAUACAAAAAUAAAAGUUACUCAAUCUCACUGAAUUGGGUCUUCCCCUUUCACCCCCUUUUGUGAAAAUAUAAAGGUCUUAAUGUCGUUAAUUUUUAAAUAUAAAAUAUAAAAUAGAAAAUAGAAAAGUAAUAAUACCAUUCUUUUCCAAUGCACUCGAAGAGGAACUGAUCUGUCGGUGUGAAGAGAUACAUCGUUCAUAAAAUUGUGAUUUAUUUUAUUUAUGUGUCAGAUUUAUUUUUGAAAUUAGAGGAAUUCCAAAUUGCCUUCAAUUGUUAACACGUGCUCUCUCCCAUCCAAGUUGGCUUACUUUCCAAAUCUUUAAGUGCAUCUUGCAUUAGUUGUGACAUCUCAGCUGCACUUCUUUUUUCAAAGUUGCGUUGUAUCAUGUCGGUUUAAUUUAGUAGCCAUGUAAAACUUUUCUGUAAUGGAAAAAACACGUCAAGAAUUAAAUUUUGUAUGUUAGAACCUAGUAUUUAAUAGACUAAUACAUAAAAUGACUAAAUGAAUAUUAUUGAUAUAACAAUUCAGCAGUAGCUAUUAACAGUAGCAAUUACAGAACAAAAGGAAAUUACUCUUGCUGCAAUAGGAAUAAUAAAUUGCUAAUAACCAUCAUUAAUCCUCUAGAAAUUAGAGAGCCUUAUAUAUAUGUGUGUGUAACGAUAUAAGAAUAAAAAACAAAACAGAAUAAACAAAGCAAAAGCAAUAGAAAACAAAGGAAUAAAACAGAGGCAGAAGAUGAACAAAACGGAGGAACAAACCAGAAGUAAUACCUUACGCACAUACAUUAGUCUAGCAAUCUAGAUAGGAGAGAAAUUAAAAACCAUACAAUACAUGAACUAACUAAUUAAUCAACCAAACAUAUUACAUUGAGAAAAGUUUUAUGAGCUAGCUAGCUAGGUUGUUGAUGACUUUAAACAUUAAUUAAUUGGGUGCAUUCUAUCUUUAUAUGGAUUAAGUGGAGAAAGAACAUCCUAUAAUUUCUGAUUUUCUAGAAAAGCCUAAGCAGAGUAAGUGCAGAUCAUAACUUUAGAGACUCUUAAAGGGAAAAUCCUAAUUGUAUGCUCAUAUUUAAUAAUAUUCAUAUUGUUAUCCAUACCAUUUUUUUUUUUUAUUUAUUAAAAAAGUUGAAUGUAGGAAAAAAGUUAUGAUUGACAGAAAAUAAGUUGAAUGUAGUAAUAUUAUCUUAAACAAGUCGAACAAAUCAUUUCGUUUAUUUCUAGUUAAUUUUUUUCAUAAUGGUUUUCUCUUCUCUAAACUAGGACGUAUGAUACUAGCAAUUGUUGAAACUACUAGUUUGUUUUGAUCAAUCUAUGUAAAAAACUAAUAUAUAAAGUUAUGUAGCUUAACUUAAUAAUAAAAUAAAAUAAAACAUCAACAAAAUGUAAUUUACUCACUCAUCUUUUUUUAGGAGUAUUGAAAGCUUUGAUAUAUUUUCUCCUCCACUACUAUGACUAGAUGAAGAUUGAGCCGUUUCAUUAAUUAUAACUUUUCAUUAAUCAUAACUUAAGAAGGGAUUGGUCGAGAUCGAGGUUGAGAUUUGUUUGGUGCGUUGAGGUCAAGGUUGAGGUCGAGCCGCGUAAUUAAUCAUAACCUUAUAUUUCUAUCUCAACCACAACUUGUUCCCCUUUAUUUCAACCACAAUCCAACCAAUUCAUCCAUUCUCAAUUCCAAUCACGACCUCGAUCCACCCAAUCUCAUUCUCCACUAUCUCAACCCCCAUCCAUAUAUCGAACUCGUCCUCAAUCCACUAAAUCAACGCAACCUCAAACUCAACCUUGAUCACAACCCCAAUCCACAUAAUCUCACCCUCCACCAUCUCAAGCUCAACCUCAAUGCACCAAAGCUCACCCUCCACCAUCUCAACCUCGAUCUCGACCAAUCCCUUCUCAAAGUUAUCAUUAAUGAAGCAACUCAAUCUUUAUCUAGUCAUAUUAGUUGAGAAGAAAAUGAACAAAACGAAUACUCCCAGAAAAUGAUAGGUGAGUAACUUAUAUUUUAUUGAUGUUACAUUUUAUUAUUAAAUUACACAACAUAACUUUAUAUAUUGUUUUUUUACAUAUGUUUGAUCAAUACACACUAGUAGUUUCAACAAUUGUUAAUAUCAUACGUUCUAGUUUAGAGGAGCAAAAACCAUGUAAAAAGUUAACUAGGGAUGAACGAAAUGGAUUGUUCGACUUGUUUAAGGUAAUAUUAUUACAAUUAACUUAUUUUUUGUCAAUCAUAAUUAGUUCAUUUUAAAUCAAUGCCAAAUGGUUCUAUAUAGGAUGCUGAUUUUGUUUUAUUAAACAAAAUAAUUCCCUUGAUCUUGGGUAAGUCUUUAUGGCUAUCACAUGCAUUAAUUUUUCAAGUUGGGAAAUGAAUGAAAUUCAAGAGAAAACUUUGAAGAAUAAAAUAGGUUUCAUCGAAAUUUUGUAGCCGGAAAAUCAAUAGUGUUGUUUAAAAAGUUAAAUACAAAAGCUAUAUGCAAGAGACUAUCAUUUAAAAAAUCAAUGAUUAUUACGAACAAAUUUUAAUUUUUCUUUUUUUAUAAAUAGUUCAAAUAUUUUUCCUAAGUAACUAAUUAUCCUACAAUAUAUAAUUAGUGUUUGAUGUACUUAAAGUAGUACGGGAUAAAAUUUGAUUCUUGACAUGUUUUUUUUUAUUAGAGAAAAGGUUUACAUGACCACCACAAUGCAACUUUGAAAAAAGGGUGCAGCUACGAUUUCCCAACAAAUUAAAGAUGCACAAUUUUUUUUAGAAAAUAAGCCAACUUGAAUGAGAUAGAGUAUGUGGGAACAAUUGAAGGCAUAUUAGAAUUCCUCUAAGUUAAAAAAAAAACAAAAAACUGACGGAUAAAAGAAAUCUCAAUUCAAUAGGUGAUUCAUCUUUUCACAUUGGUGGAUUAAUUUCUCAUGAGGUGCAUUGGAAAUGAAUUGUAUUAAUAAUUUUCUAGUUUAUAAUUUAAAAUUAACGACAUUAAAACAUAUUUUAUAAUUUACAUAAGGAAAUCGAAAGGAACAACAUUUGGUGACUUUUAUUUUGUAGUAAUCGAAGAAACAAUAAAAAUUAGGUCGGUAUUCAUGCAUAAUUUGCUUGUUUAAGAAAAAUUAAAAAACAAAACUUUUAUUACGGGAGAGGAUGAAGCCGAUAUGCAACCAAUCAAAUAUAUGUCAUCUGAUAUUAAUAUAUGGCUGAUAUUAAUAUAUGGGUAGAUGUACUUGGGGAGAUGAAAUAGAUAAUAUUUAGUACUUUGAUUCCAAGUCAACCAACAAUGUUUUAAGAAGAGGUUGAUUUUUUGAGAAGUCAAAUUCAUGCUUUGAAUGAAUAGUUGCAAAGACAAGAGAAAUAAAGGUUGUUGAUGAAACAACAGUUGCAACGAUAAGAAAAAGAUAUGGUGAAUCCAACAAAAAUUUAACCUUUCUCGUGCAACAUUUAGGAUUUGUUGGAUCUUCUUCUCGUCUAUGUUCAUCACCAUAAUUUAACAAUGAAAAUGAAGAUAUUGGUGAUGAAAACAUUCGUAUUGAUCAUAUUGAGUAGUAUUUAUUUUUAGGUUUAAUUGCAAUUUUGUUUCCUUUAUUUUUACCAAUUCAUAAAAUUAGUCUCCUUAUUUUAAAAUUCGAAAAUUUUGGUUCCUCACUCAAAUUUUUUAAUCUAAAAAAUGACGAUUUAACAUAAUUUAAAAGAUACGAUAUACAAUUUCAUAGUUUAGAAUCAUCUGAAUGCAUUAAUUAUUCACAUGAUUUUGUUAAAUUACAAGUAUGAAAAAUUUUCUGAAUAAUUUUACGUCAAUGUAUCAUAUGUCACAUUAUUUGAGUAUGUUACUGUGCAUUUUUUAGUUAAAAUGUCAGGAAUGAGCUAAAAAUGUCGACUUUUAAAUAAGAGAAUUAAUUUCGUGAAUCAAUAAAAAUAAGUAGAUUAAAAUUGUAAUUAAGCUUUAUUUUUAUAUCGAUAAUUUAGUUGUAUUUAGUUGUAUCAUGUACUUGAUUAUACUUAA